This 74-nucleotide transfer RNA is filed under the name Rhodopseudomonas faecalis. It matches the Rfam family "tRNA". Rfam says of the family: Transfer RNA (tRNA) molecules are approximately 80 nucleotides in length. Their secondary structure includes four short double-helical elements and three loops (D, anti-codon, and T loops). Lineage: Bacteria; Pseudomonadati; Pseudomonadota; Alphaproteobacteria; Hyphomicrobiales; Nitrobacteraceae. The record is from Rfam by way of RNAcentral.
GCAGUUGUAGCUCAGCUGGUUAGAGCGCCUGUCUGUGGAACAGGAGGUCGGUGGUUCGAACCCACCCAACUGUA